This 253-nucleotide ribosomal RNA is filed under the name uncultured bacterium. RNAcentral describes it as "partial 16S ribosomal RNA". It matches the Rfam family "Bacterial small subunit ribosomal RNA", at positions 524 to 776 of the family's 1533-position model. The record is from RNAcentral.
UACGUAGGGAGCAAGCGUUGUCCGGAAUCAUUGGGCGUAAAGAGCGUGUAGGCGGCCAGGUAGGUCUGCUGUGAAAACUCGAGGCUUAACCUCGAGAUGUCGGCGGAAACCAUCUGGCUAGAGUCCGGAAGAGGAGAGUGGAAUUCCUGGUGUAGCGGUGAAAUGCGCAGAUAUCAGGAAGAACACCCGUGGCGAAGGCGGCUCUCUGGGCCUGUACUGACGCUGAGGAGCGAAAGCGUGGGGAGCAAACAGG